Molecule: ribosomal RNA, 492 nt
Filed under: uncultured bacterium
Lineage: Bacteria
Description: partial 16S ribosomal RNA
Rfam family: Bacterial small subunit ribosomal RNA
Source: RNAcentral
AGUGAACGCUGGCGGUAGGCCUAACACAUGCAAGUCGAACGGCAGCACAGUAAGAGCUUGCUCUUACGGGUGGCGAGUGGCGGACGGGUGAGGAAUACAUCGGAAUCUACUUUUUCGGGGGGGAUAACGUAGGGAAACUUACGCUAAUACCGCAUACGACCUACGGGUGAAAGCAGGGGAUCUUCGGACCUUGCGCGAUUGAAUGAGCCGAUGUCGGAUUAGCUAGUUGGCGGGGUAAUGGCCCACCAAGGCGACGAUACGUAGCUGGUCUGAGAGGAUGAUCAGCCACACUGGAACUGAGACACGGUCCAGACUCCUACGGGAGGCAGCAGUGUGGAAUAUUGGACAAUGGGCGCAAGCCUGAUCCAGCCAUACCGCGUGGGUGAAGAAGGCCUUCGGGUUGUAAAGCCCUUUUGUUGGGAAAGAAAAGCAGCAGGUUAAUACCCCGCUGUUCUGACGGUACCCAAAGAACAAGCACCGGCUAACUUCGUG